RNAcentral lists this ribosomal RNA (274 nucleotides) under uncultured bacterium. RNAcentral's name for it is "partial 16S ribosomal RNA". It matches the Rfam family "Bacterial small subunit ribosomal RNA", at positions 523 to 796 of the family's 1533-position model. The record is from RNAcentral.
AUACGAAAGGUGCAAGCGUUGUUCGGAUUUACUGGGCGUAAAGAGAGUGUAGGUGGUUUAUUAAGUCGGAUGUGAAAUCCCGGGGCUCAACCUCGGAACUGCAUUCGAUACUGAUAGGCUAGAGUUUGGGAGGGGUAAGCGGAAUUCCGUGUGUAGCAGUGAAAUGCGUAGAUAUACGGAGGAACACCUGAGGCGAAGGCGGCUUACUGGACCAAUACUGACACUGAGACUCGAAAGCGUGGGUAGCAAACGGGAUUAGAAACCCCAGUAGUCC